AUGGCUGCCAUUAAGCUUGUGUCACUUAGCUUGGUUGUGCUACUGAGCAUUGGGUUAGCCAGCGCCACUAGGGUAGUUAGAUACGCCAGCUCAACGGGGACAGGCUCGGGAGUGGGGAAUGGUGGUGGCACUGUGAACGGCAGCGGUGGAGGGACUGGGAGUGGCAAUGGGAAUGCCUACAGUGGUAGUAGUGGAGCCCAUGCAAAUGCGGGAGGGGGCGGUAGCGGGGGUGGUGCGUCGCAGGAUGGUGGCACCGGACAUGGCGCUGGGUCCGGCGACGGCUCAAGCUCUAGCUAUACGAGCGACGGAAGAUAUAGUUAUGGUGGUGAUUCUUAUGCAGGCGGAACUGGUCAGAACGGCGGCAGCGGUGGCGGCACGGGAGGUGGCAGCGGUAAUGCUGGUGCAUACCCUUAA
Molecule: ribosomal RNA, 414 nt
Filed under: Triticum aestivum (bread wheat)
Lineage: Eukaryota; Viridiplantae; Streptophyta; Magnoliopsida; Poales; Poaceae
Description: partial small subunit ribosomal RNA
Source: RNAcentral